RNAcentral lists this ribosomal RNA (768 nucleotides) under uncultured bacterium. RNAcentral describes it as "bacterial SSU rRNA". It matches the Rfam family "Bacterial small subunit ribosomal RNA", at positions 577 to 1343 of the family's 1533-position model. The record is from RNAcentral.
GGUUUGUCGCGUUGUUCGUGAAAUCUCACGGCUUAACUGUGAGCGUGCGGGCGAUACGGGCAGACUUGAGUACUGCAGGGGAGACUGGAAUUCCUGGUGUAGCGGUGGAAUGCGCAGAUAUCAGGAGGAACACCGGUGGCGAAGGCGGGUCUCUGGGCAGUAACUGACGCUGAGGAGCGAAAGCGUGGGGAGCGAACAGGAUUAGAUACCCUGGUAGUCCACGCCGUAGACGGUGGGUACUAGGUGUGGGUUUCCUUCCUUGGGAUCCGUGCCGUAGCUAACGCAUUAAGUACCCCGACUGGGGAGUACGGCCGCAAGGCUAAAACUCAAAGAAAUUGACGGGGGCCCGCACAAGCGGCGGAGCAUGUGGAUUAAUUCGAUGCAACGCGAAGAACCUUACCUGGGUUUGACAUGCACAGGACGCCGGCAGAGAUGUCGGUUCCCUUGUGGCCUGUGUGCAGGUGGUGCAUGGCUGUCGUCAGCUCGUGUCGUGAGAUGUUGGGUUAAGUCCCGCAACGAGCGCAACCCUUGUCUCAUGUUGCCAGCGGGUAAUGCCGGGGACUCGUGAGAGACUGCCGGGGUCAACUCGGAGGAAGGUGGGGAUGACGUCAAGUCAUCAUGCCCCUUAUGUCCAGGGCUUCACACAUGCUACAAUGGCCGGUACAAAGGGCUGCGAUGCCGCGAGGUUAAGCGAAUCCUUUUAAAGCCGGUCUCAGUUCGGAUCGGGGUCUGCAACUCGACCCCGUGAAGUCGGAGUCGCUAGUAAUC